Long non-coding RNA from Brassica rapa (field mustard), 5123 nucleotides. RefSeq lists it as uncharacterized. Lineage: Eukaryota; Viridiplantae; Streptophyta; Magnoliopsida; Brassicales; Brassicaceae. The record is from RefSeq and is a predicted model, not a curated record.
AAAAAUCUUUAUAAUUUUAAAAGUUAACAUCGACAAAUAUUUAAAUAUUUAUCAUAUGGAGGUAUAGUAUUACAACAUUAAAUUAUAUUUAUUUAAUUUAUACUAUCUAUAAAUCCAAUGGAUCAUCUAUUGUUUAAAUCCAAUUAUUAAUAGUCUAAUAAAUUUUUUUGGUAAGUCCAAAAUUUAAAUGAUAAGAUUAGAGAUUAAAUGUAACAUGAUUUCCUAAAAAUAUGUCUAUUAGAUACAUUUUUAAAAAAAUCACACGAAUCAAGAUUGUAACUUCUGUUUUAAUACAUAAGAAGUGGUAAAAAGAGGCAUAUACUUUCUGCAAGCUGCCAUUACUUAAAUGUUGAUGCCCACAAAUGUAUCUGAGUUUCGAUAUAACUCAUGCAAUGAAGUGUAAGUAAAUAAGUUUACAUCUAAAAACAAAUAUAAAAAGUUGCCGACCUAUACAACUUGGUUGUCGUGGGAUUAAUUUUUUUGUGUGAGAUCAUGUGACAUGUCUUCCAAACUAAGGUUAUGCUUUUUUAUGUAUAUUUUAAAUUUUCAAGUUGAUGAAUGAAUACUCAUGGGUGACGAUGACCUCAUCAAAACAUAAACAACAAUUGUUCCAACAAUUGUUCCAACAAAUGUUUAAUGAUAUUAGUAUUUGGAAUAGUGGAAUAAAAUUCAGAAAAAAACUCAGUGCUAAAGCCUCCCCAUUUUUAAUACAUUAUUUCAGUUAAAUUGAGUAGUGUAAACUGAAGAUAAUUAUUUUGCUCAAUUAUUUGGUCAUUGUCAUAGGCAUUGCCAUUCGUCUUUUCAAAAUUUUGUUUGUGUUUAUGAAGACUGCAUUUUUAAGUUGAACAAUACCUUUUAUAGAUUGAAUUAAGAUUAUCUCAUAAAUCUUAUAUAUGACUUAAUCUACUACAUAAUUGGUUAUGUAUGUUAUGAAAAUGUGUGCAUGUAACUUUUGCUGCACAAAUAUUUUUGCUUUUGCUUAUUCAACUUUGAAAUAUUUUCUCAUAUUAAUAUGUUAGUUUUGGUUUUCAUGACCUAGCUUGAUCGUUCAAUUUUACUGAUGAAUGAUGAUGACUUAGAUUGUCUGGCCUUAUCACAUUAGAAGAAAAGGAGCAAUUAGGACUAAAAUUGUAAUUAUACAAAAACAGUUUGAUUCCUUCGAGCUUGGCAGCACAUGUUCCUUCAUAUUUGGAAAAGGCAUUGACAUUAUUAAAAAACAUGUAUACGAUGACCCACCAACAAAUUUAAUAUACCAAAAUAUCAAAAAAAAAAAAAAUUUAAUGUUUAACAGGGAUGCCUUUCGAUGUAAAAAGAAUGUUUAACUGGAUGAUUAAUCCGAAAUAUACGCCACCAUCAAAGAAAAAUUACAGUUUUACGUGUCUAAUAUAAUUAUCUUUAGCUUUUAUAAAAAUAUCCCAUUAAAAUUAAAAAAAAAUAAAGUCGAGAGAAAAGUGAAUCAUCUCUAUUUUUUAAAAAAAAUUAAUUUUAUCAUAAAUUUAAUAUUUUACUGAUACCAAUUUUUCAAAAAGUUUUGCAUGCAGAUACAGACAUAAUAAUUUUAUAAACAGUUAUAAAGAGAUGUACUAUCAGUUAAGAUCAUUACGAUAAUUUAGUACUCAUGCAAAUAUGAUAAAUCUGAACAUCAAACUUCUUAUAUAUGGCUAUAGAAAUAUUUUUAGCAUAAAAUAAAUGUAAAAAAAAUUCAUGCAUUUAGAUAUUUAAUAAUACAUAAAAUAUCAAACUCUUUAUAUAUAAUAAAAAGGUUUUAUCAUGGCAAAAAUACUUUUAUGGCGUAAAAUAAUUUUCAAAAUACUCAUGUACAUACAAAAAGAUAACAUCUAUCACGCUUGCAUGUAUGUGUAAUGCGAAUCAAAACCCAAACUAAAAAGUAUAUUUUUCAAAUCUAUACUACAAUUGAGGCAAGUAUAAAUUUAACCAAAAGCGAGCAUAAGUUUUACCAAUUAUUAUUUCUAAAAGAAUAUAUAAUAUAUUUUUAUGUAUUAUAUGUGCUUUAGUUUUUGUGUAACUAAUUAUGUUUAGUAAGACAAUAAUAUGCAAGUAAUAUAUUUUGUACCAAAAUGGUGAUUAACAUUGAUGAAUAAGUUAUGUUAUGCAGAAAUCUAUUUUAAUAAAUAUAUAUAUAUAUAUAUAUAUAUUUCUCUUUUUUGUUUUAAAUUUUAAAAGUAUUAUGCUGGAAACAAUUUUUUGGAUAUAAUAUUUUUAGAUAAUGAUAAUCAUCAAAAAUGAAUAUUUUCUUUAAUUUUUUAAAUUAUUAUUAAUCGUAUAAUAAUAAAUUGAAGCCCUCAUUAAGGGUUUGAACGACUUUAACCGCUCUAACUUUUAACAUGAGUGCUUAAUUUCGAAAAAACACUUCGCAAAUGAUAGUAUGGAUUCAUGAUAAAAAAAAUUAAAUUAACUCUUUUAAAUAAUUCAUAAAUUUUAAGAGUAAUUUAUAAAUAUUUACAGAAGUUUAUAAAUUCAACCUCACACCAUAAAUAUUAAACCCUGAAUAAUUAUUAAACUAUAAACACAAAUGUUAGAGUAUUUUUGAUUGAUUGUAUUUUGAAAAGUGGUAGAUAAUUUAAAGUGUUAUAAGUACCUUUUUGAAAAUAUAAAUUUAAAACACCACUAAAUCACUUGUUUUAAAAAUAAAUUGUUAAUAACAUCAAAAUUUAGUUACCUAUUUCAAUUUUUUUAAAUACUAAUAUAAUAGUAUUAGAAACUUAAUUAAAAACACUUGUAAUGAUGCUCUAAAGUUCUAAGGACAACCCAACGGGUAUAUAAAAGGCCUUAUUUGUGUAAUAGCCAUAUUUUAAAGAUGAAUUAGGUGAAUAACAAUGAUUUUGACAUAAAUCAAUGUCGGUAUUUAGGUAAUAAAUCAUCCGGUUUUAUCUCUUUAUGCAACAUGUUUUCAGUUGUAAGUAAGAGAAUAUGUGAUGUUGUUUUUUUGUGGCGCAGAUCAAGCCAAAACUAUUAUAUAUGAACGAAGAUAAAGUUGUCACAUCACUAUGUUAUUAUCAGAAAAAGUUUUUUUACUAUAGGCAGUGAAAUGAGUGAUGUAAAAUAUGAACAUGUUUGAAAUAAAUGGUUUAUUCAAUUUACCAACCCUGUAAAUCCAUCUGCAAAGAACAAACUUUGAAGAAAUUGAAAGGAUAAAAAGCUUAAAUGUUCUAUUCCAUAUCAAAUAAAAGUAUAAGACACCAUCACUAUCUCUAAUUUUGUACGAAACAAGUGUGUUUCUUCACUAGUUUUUAUUUUUUUGAUACUUUUUAUGUAAUUAAAGUUAUAUGAAUUAAUAGAUAUUUAUGAAAAAUUCUCCUAAUUUGACUCUGCCUUCUCCAGGCAACUAUGCAGUAAUUUCUGGAUUCGCCCUAGUAAUAUAACUCUAGCCAUACCUAUGAACACCUAACUUUUAAGAACAUUGGCUUGAAAAUCACCUGUAUAAACUGAUAUGAAUGAAUGAAUGAAUGUAUUAUCCAGUCAAGAGGAGAUCAUCAUAGAAAUGUGUGUAUCAUACCUUAUUCAAAUAGUUAACCAAAUAUGUUUUAUUUCUAUAUUUGAAUUAAUCAACUAUUUAAUAAUUAUUAUCUAUAUUUAUUUUGUUUAAUAUGUUCAACAUCAUAUUUGUUACAUGAUAUUUUAUAUUUUCAAUUCAUUUAUUACCGUAUUUUACCAUAUUUUUAUAGUUUUUUCUUUUUGUUUUGUUUUUUCCGUACUUUUCGUUAAUAUUGCAUUUUUUUACAUUUGUUAUAUUAGUUUAUCACUUAUAACUUUACAUCUACAUUGUAUAUAUUUAAAUUAACACACACAGAUAUAUAUACGAUGAUGAUGAAGAUGUUCACAAUGACCAACCAAUAUAAUGUUAUAUUAAGAUUUUUUACUAUUAUAGUUUUGUCUCUUCUCUUAAAUUAAUGUAUAUAAAAAGUUGAAUAUAUUUCUGUUGAUAUAUUAGUUAUAUUUUCAUAAAUAUUUUAUAAUAAAUUUUAAGAUGUUUGCCUUGAGCUCCUAAAAUGCUAGGUACGACAUCCAACAUGAAUGCACAUUUGAAAAAAAUCAAAAUAAAAUAGUAAACAAAGAGCUCAUGUUUGUUGAAAUUGUAAGAGCAUGGUGUUUGUUAGACCCAAUAUUGGUCAAUAAGUUGAAUGGGUCAGCAUCGGUCUGGGCCGUACAGUGUAGAACAAGUAAGAGGCCCGUUACGAGCUGUUCGAAGAGAGAUCGAAGGCCUAAAGAUCGCGGAAGGGUUGCGGGGAUCCUGGACUCAAUUUACUACAAAAGGAGAUCGACGCAUAUGAAGAGGGACACGUUGAAAACUCUAGAGAGAGCUACAUCCAUACAUCAAUCUUGUUUUCACCUAGCUUUAGAUCUUUUCCCUUAUCGAUCUCGUUUGUAACGUCGAUCUCAUUUCAUUCAUUGGAGCUCCACAUCAUCCAUCGUUGCUGAUGUCAGAAACAUGGAACAAGCCUUAUUCCCGAGAGUACGCUGCUUUCUCUGCCCCCAUGGCUCUGCUCCGCCAAGUUCUGGUCAACCACAUGUAUAUGAUUAGAUCAUCCAAGAUCAAAUGGGCCAUUUGUUAUUUUUUUAUGGUUUGAAAAUAUGAGUGUAAAAAAUUAAUGAAAUGUGGAACAUGCCGUGUGGACAAUGUAUAGUGUGCACUCUCCUCCCAGAUGAAGAACAAGUCGCCUAAGCAGCCCCGGGACCGGGACGGGGACCGGAAACUGGGACGGGAACGGGGACGGAAAACGUCAAACUUAAAAUUUGUAGAUACGGGUACGUCAUAGAAACGGCGACCAUAUUAUAAGAAAAUAUAAAAAUAUCCAUAAGUCUGAAACAUAAGUUUUAACAGAAACAAGAAGAAGGUAAAGAAAAUGCUUACGUGUUUUGUUGCUUGUGAUAUAAACAACAAAGAGACAAGAAGGGAAGGAAAGUGCUUAUGUGUUCUGUUGCUGAUAUAUCAGCAGAGAGAGAAAGGUCGGGACUUUAGUUUCAAAGAGAAAGAAGAAGAUGGAAGUGCAAGAGACUGAGAGUGGAAGAAUCGAAGAGACAUAGACUAUUACUUUUUUUUUUAAUUACAACUUUUGAUCUUUUCAAAAUUAAUAGAAUAAACACAUUAAACAUUUAAAACA